UGCGGAGGGGGCGAGCGUUAUUCGGAAUUAUUGGGCGUAAAGGGCGCGUAGGCGGCUGUACAAGUCAAAGGUGAAAUCCCUCGGCUCAACUGAGGAACUGCCUUUGAAACUGUACGGCUUGAGGCCGGGAGGGGGUAGCGGAAUUCCCAGUGUAGCGGUGAAAUGCGUAGAUAUCAGGAAGAACACCAAUGGCGAAAGCAGCUCUCUGGGACGGUACUGACGCUGAGACGCGAAAGCGUGGGGAGCGAACAGG
Molecule: ribosomal RNA, 253 nt
Filed under: uncultured bacterium
Lineage: Bacteria
Description: partial 16S ribosomal RNA
Rfam family: Bacterial small subunit ribosomal RNA
Source: RNAcentral